GUUGGCCUACGGGGCGCAGCAGUAGGGAAUCUUCCACAAUGGACGAAAGUCUGAUGGAGCAACGCCGCGUGAGUGAAGAAGGGUUUCGGCUCGUAAAGCUCUGUUGGUAGUGAGGAAAGAUAGGGGUAGUAACUUGCCUUUUUUUUCCGGUAAUUACUUAGAAAGUCACGGCUAACUUCGUUCCAGCAGCCGCGGGAAUACGUAGGUGGCAAACGUUGUCCGGAUUUAUUGGGCGUAAAG
This 240-nucleotide ribosomal RNA is filed under the name uncultured bacterium. RNAcentral describes it as "partial 16S ribosomal RNA". It matches the Rfam family "Bacterial small subunit ribosomal RNA", at positions 333 to 565 of the family's 1533-position model. The record is from RNAcentral.